Long non-coding RNA from Microplitis demolitor, 702 nucleotides. RefSeq lists it as uncharacterized. The record is from RefSeq and is a predicted model, not a curated record. Lineage: Eukaryota; Metazoa; Arthropoda; Insecta; Hymenoptera; Braconidae. The transcript has 2 exons.
GUUACAGCGGGUCCAAUAAAAUUAUACGAAAAAAUCUUUCGAUUGUUAUCUAUUAAUUCGAUGAGUAAUGAUUUUUUGAAUUUAUUACCUACCCAAGUAACACUUGGCUUUUCGACAUCUAUAAGAUAGCAGUUUUGAGGCUGAUUUUUGACCUGUCGAUAAGACACCAAAAUGUUGACAAACCGAUCAGAAAUUAUCAUCGAAAUAUCUGCUUAAAUAACUUUACACAAGUCACGACAAGAAGAUCAACAUCUGUACGUCUUAUUUAUUUAAAAAAACUUGGUUUCCAGACAAAAAGAAGUUUGUCUUGUCCUGUUAAUAGACAUCCAGGAUAGAGGUACCGUUUUUGGACAUUUGAAAAAUUUUAAUAAAAUAAUUUGUCAAAGACGCAAGAACAAUUAAUUUUUUAAAUAUUUUUAAAAAUACUUUAAUCCCAGUAAUAAAAUAGAAAUUUUAUUUAACACUUUUUCAUUAAUUAAAGUAAAGUAUUAAAUGUUACAAAAUGGAACCUCUAUCCUAUAUGACAUCUUAAAGUUGCCACUGUUCUACUUGGGUACCUUUUACCUGACACUGAUAACAAGUAUGAUAACUAACAUAUACAUAAAUUUAUAUGCUCUGGUACUUGCACUGCAAAAUGGAUUGUAAAUAAAAUCUGUAUUUUAUUAAUUAAUUAUAAAUUAUAAACAUAUUUAUAUAUCUAUA